GAGGAAAGUCCGGGCACCUCAGGGCAGUGUGCCGUGUGAAAACGCGGGGGCUGGCGGCGUAAGCUUCCGGUCACGGAAAGUGUCACAGAAAACAUACCGCCGCGGGCAACUGCGGUAAGGGUGAAAAGGCGAGGUAAGAGCUCACCGCUCCGACUGAAAGGAAGGAGGCAGGACAAACCCCACACGGUGCAAGACAGAACAGGGGAAACGGCCCGCCCUGGCCGCACUGACUCCGCAAGGAGUUGGGAUAACCCCGGGUAUUAGUCGCACCUCGCGCAAAGCGGGGAGCACGGGGCGCAAGCCCCGGGCUAGAGAAAUGACCGCCACCUUUUGCGGCAACGCGGGAGGCACAGAACCCGGCUUA
RNAcentral lists this RNase P RNA (364 nucleotides) under Verrucomicrobium spinosum. Its description in RNAcentral is "partial RNAase P". It matches the Rfam family "Bacterial RNase P class A", at positions 43 to 351 of the family's 367-position model. From Rfam's summary of the family: Ribonuclease P (RNase P) is a ubiquitous endoribonuclease, found in archaea, bacteria and eukarya as well as chloroplasts and mitochondria. Its best characterised activity is the generation of mature 5'-ends of tRNAs by cleaving the 5'-leader elements of precursor-tRNAs. Cellular RNase Ps are ribonucleoproteins. Lineage: Bacteria; Pseudomonadati; Verrucomicrobiota; Verrucomicrobiia; Verrucomicrobiales; Verrucomicrobiaceae. The record is from RNAcentral.